CCUACGGGGGGCAGCAGUGAGGAAUAUUGGUCAAUGGACGAGAGUCUGAACCAGCCAAGUAGCGUGAAGGAUGACUGCCCUAUGGGUUGUAAACUUCUUUUAUAUGGGAAUAAAAUGUUCCACGUGUGGGAUUUUGUAUGUACCAUAUGAAUAAGGAUCGGCUAACUCCGUGCCAGCAGCCGCGGUAAUACGGAGGAUCCGAGCGUUAUCCGGAUUUAUUGGGUUUAAAGGGAGCGUAGGUGGAUUGUUAAGUCAGUUGUGAAAGUGUGCGGCUCAACCGUAAAAUUGCAGUUGAAACUGGCAGUCUUGAGUACAGUAGAGGUGGGCGGAAUUCGUGGUGUAGCGGUGAAAUGCUUAGAUAUCACGAAGAACUCCGAUUGCGAAGGCAGUUCACUGGACUGCAACUGACACUGAGGCUCGAAAGUGUGGGUAUCAAACAGGAUUAGAUACCCCAGUAGUA
Molecule: ribosomal RNA, 460 nt
Filed under: uncultured bacterium
Lineage: Bacteria
Description: partial 16S ribosomal RNA
Rfam family: Bacterial small subunit ribosomal RNA
Source: RNAcentral